This is a long non-coding RNA of Bos taurus (domestic cattle), 522 nucleotides long. The record is from Ensembl. Lineage: Eukaryota; Metazoa; Chordata; Mammalia; Artiodactyla; Bovidae.
ACGUUAGGACCACUGUGCCUGCUGCUUGCCAGCCUGAGGUCUAAGAGAGCUGCCUAAAGUUUAUCUCAUGAGGAAUCCACUGAAGGACUUCUUGGGGAAGAGAGUUCGAGUCAAGAUGUCCAGAAACCAGGAAAUGGGCUUCCCCUUCUGAUGCAGAAGGCAGAUGAACACAGUGAAGAUGGAUGAUGGGCAAAGAAGUCACCCACGCAACGAAAGGAACAGCCAGCUUGUAGUAAUGAGCUGCUGCUGCUUCACUGCUCACUGCGUGUCACAUGUUAUGUGCGAUGAUUUACACAGGGCCCCUCCUUACCUUUUCAACCAUUCUAGAAGAUAUCUUCUGCUUUAGGUAUCAGGGUGAUGAUGGCUUCAUAGAAAGAGUUUGGAAAUGUUCCUUCCUUGGAAAUUUUUGAAAUCGCUUGAGAAGUAUAGAUAUUAACUCUUCUCUAAAUGUUUGAAGCAACAGUUAGAACUGGACAUGGAACAACAGACCGGUUCCAAAUAGGAAAAGAAGUACGUCAAGGC